RNA transcript from Chiroxiphia lanceolata (lance-tailed manakin), 1682 nucleotides. It is a transcript of the gene named neurogranin, with no coding region annotated. Lineage: Eukaryota; Metazoa; Chordata; Aves; Passeriformes; Pipridae. The transcript is spliced from 4 exons. The record is from RefSeq and is a predicted model, not a curated record.
CACCCGCCCUCCGCCAUGGACUGCUGCAAUGAGGGAGCCUGCACAAAGCUGGACGAGGACAUCCUGGACAUCCCUUUGGACGAUCCCGAUGCCAACGCGGCGGCCGCCAAGAUCCAGGCUAGUUUCCGUGGCCAUAUGACCCGCAAGAAGAUCAAAGGGGGGGAAAUCGACCGGAAAACCAAGGACGCCGAGUGCGCCAACAGCACCCGCGGCGGCGACCUCCGCAACGGAGACUAGGGGCCACCAGCCGCUCCCCGGACCCCCCUCGCCACCGGCCCCCCCCGCCGCCGCCCGCCGAGGCCCAGGAGCCCCCGCUUUGCCCCAUCGCCCCCCGCAUGCGACCCCCGGAGCCCCGCAGCAGCCAGGCCCUGCCCCCACCCCCGGCUGCCCCGCCCCGCCCCGGAGACCCCCCAUCCCAAUAAACGCCCCUGCCAGAGCCCCGGGCUGUCCUUGGUGCCGUUCCAUGUCCCCGGCGGAGGGUGAGGUCACCGCGGGGCACAGCGGGGAGGGGCACGGGGCGGGUGGUGCCCAGCACUGAUGUCACACGCGCGUGUGGGACAUCGUGCGGGCACGUGUGACAUCACUGCCAGCCGUGUGACGGCGGGAGUGACAUCACGCACUUGCACAGGGCGUGGUGUGACGUCGCUGGUGGGUGGGAGAACACUCGUGGGGUGCUCCCGCCCCGAGGUGGGUGGUGACGUCACUGCUGGACGUGUGACAGCUGCUGUGACACCACAGAGGUCUGUGUGAUGUCACUGUGGGAUGUGUGACACCAUAGAAGGGUCUCUGAUGUCACUGCUGGAUGUGUGACACCACAGAGGUCUCUGAUGUCACUGCUGGAUGUGUGACACCACAGAGGUGUGUGUGAUGCCACUGUGGGAUGUGUGACACCAUACAAGGGUGUGUGAUGUCACUGCUGGAUGUGUGACACCAUAGAGGUGUAUGUGAUGUCACUGUGGGAUGUGUGACAAAAUCCAGGGGUGUGUGACAUCACUGCUGGAUGUGUGACACCAUAGAAAUGUGUGUGAUGUCACUGUGGGAUGUGUGACACCAUAGAAAUGUGUGUGAUGUCACUGUGGGAUGUGUGACACCGUACAGGCAUGUGUCAUGUCACCACUGGCUGUCUGAUGCUGGGUGUGACAUCAUGCAGGCCUGCACGACAUCACUCAUGGACGUGUGACAUGCCUGUAUGGCAUCAAACAGGCAGGAGUUGGAAGCUGUGAUGUCACACACUCGUGGUGACAUCGUGGUGACAGGUCACAGGGUGUGAAACACACGUGCACCACAGUGUCACCUCAUCCCAAGAACCUUGGCUGGUGCUGUGACGUCACCCCGCCCUGUGACCUCACCCAGAAGGCUGUGGGACCCCCCCAACCCCGAAAUCCCCACAAACUCACCUAAAGCGCCGGUGCUGGGCAGCACAGCAGCUUUUAAUCAGAAAACUCCUAAAAAAAGUGCGUCCCCUGCCCGCCCAUUGCCUCCCGCCCCCCACUUUUAAUGGUCUUUUAUGAAAAAUCCUCCUUUCCACUGAUAUAUAGAUAUAUAAAAAAAAUAAGAAGCCCCACACCCCCCUCGCCGGGGCAGGACCGGGGCUGGUUUGGGGGGUGAUAUUUACGGGGAGACUCAGCCCCCCCAAACCCAGGGGGCCCCUGCACCCAUUAAACAUCCCCACGACGAGUCCA